CUUUUUGAUUUAAAUAUAAAGUAUAACCUGCCCAUUGAAAUUUUUAAAAGGCUGCGGUAUAUUGACCGUACAAAGGUAGCAUAAUCAUUAGUUUUUUAAUUGGAAACUCGUAUGAAUGGUUGAAUGAGGAAUAAACUUUUUUAAUAGAAAAAUUGAAUUUUACAUUUUAAUUAAAAGGUUAAAAUAUAUUUAAAAGACGAGAAGACCCUAUAGAGUUUUAUAAUUUAUAUUUAAUGUUAAAAAAAAUUAAUAAAUAUUUUUAUUUAAAUAAUUAUUUUGUUGGGGUGAUGAUAAAAUUUAAUUAACUUUUAUUUUUUUUUACAUUAAUAAAUGAAUAAUUGAUCCACUAAUAGUGAUUAAAAAAUUAAAUUACCUUAGGGAUAACAGCGUAAUUUUUUUUUUAAGUUCAUAUUAAUAAAAAAUUUUGCGACCUCGAUGUUGGAUUAAGAUUUAAUUUUAGGUGCAGAAGUUUAAAAUUUAAGUCUGUUCGACUUUUAAAUUCUU
RNAcentral lists this ribosomal RNA (504 nucleotides) under Pseudolycoriella sudhausi. RNAcentral's name for it is "partial 16S ribosomal RNA". Lineage: Eukaryota; Metazoa; Arthropoda; Insecta; Diptera; Sciaridae. The record is from RNAcentral.